RNAcentral lists this ribosomal RNA (366 nucleotides) under uncultured organism. RNAcentral's name for it is "bacterial SSU rRNA". It matches the Rfam family "Bacterial small subunit ribosomal RNA", at positions 527 to 896 of the family's 1533-position model. The record is from RNAcentral.
GUAGGUGGCAAGCGUUGUCCGGAUUUAUGGGUUUAAAGGGUGCGUAGGCGGCCUUAUAAGUCAGUGCUGAAAUAUCCCGGCUUAACCGGGAGGGUGGCAUUGAUACUGCAAGGCUUGAGUGUAGUCGAGGUAGGCGGAAUUGACGGUGUAGCGGUGAAAUGCUUAGAUAUCGUCAAGAACACCGAUAGUGUAGACAGCUUACUAGGCUACAACUGACGCUGAGGCACGAAAGUGUGGGGAUCAAACAGGAUUAGAUACCCUGGUAGUCCACACUGUAAACGUUGAUUACUCGAUGUUGGCGAUACACAGUCAGCGUCUUAGCGCAAGCGAUAAGUAAUCCACCUGGGGAGUACGCCGGCAACGGUG